This 75-nucleotide transfer RNA is filed under the name Collybiopsis luxurians FD-317 M1. RNAcentral describes it as "tRNA-Pro (CGG) (tRNA-Pro-CGG-16-1)". It matches the Rfam family "tRNA". From Rfam's summary of the family: Transfer RNA (tRNA) molecules are approximately 80 nucleotides in length. Their secondary structure includes four short double-helical elements and three loops (D, anti-codon, and T loops). Further hydrogen bonds mediate the characteristic L-shaped molecular structure. tRNAs have two regions of fundamental functional importance: the anti-codon, which is responsible for specific mRNA codon recognition, and the 3' end, to which the tRNAs corresponding amino acid is attached (by aminoacyl-tRNA synthetases). tRNAs cope with the degeneracy of the genetic code in two manners: having more than one tRNA (with a specific anti-codon) for a particular amino acid; and 'wobble' base-pairing, i.e. permitting non-standard base-pairing at the 3rd anti-codon position. Lineage: Eukaryota; Fungi; Basidiomycota; Agaricomycetes; Agaricales; Omphalotaceae. The record is from Rfam by way of RNAcentral.
GGUCGAGUAGCUCAGUUGGUUAGAGCACUGUCCCCGGAAGUGGCAGGGACCUGGGUUCAAUUCCCAGCUUGGUCA